This 232-nucleotide ribosomal RNA is filed under the name uncultured bacterium. Its description in RNAcentral is "partial 16S ribosomal RNA". It matches the Rfam family "Bacterial small subunit ribosomal RNA", at positions 100 to 334 of the family's 1533-position model. The record is from RNAcentral.
UGGACGGGUGAGUAAUGUCUGGGAAACUGCCUGAUGGAGGGGGAUAACUACUGGAAACGGUAGCUAAUACCGCAUAACGUCGCAAGACCAAAGAGGGGGACCUUAGGGCCUCUUGCCAUCGGAUGUGCCCAGAUGGGAUUAGCUAGUAGGUGGGGUAACGGCUCACCUAGGCGACGAUCCCUAGCUGGUCUGAGAGGAUGACCAGCCACACUGGAACUGAGACACGGUCCAG